Sapajus apella (tufted capuchin) is the source of this 2402-nucleotide RNA transcript. RefSeq lists it as uncharacterized. The transcript has a single exon. Lineage: Eukaryota; Metazoa; Chordata; Mammalia; Primates; Cebidae. The record is from RefSeq and is a predicted model, not a curated record.
CUGUUGAUCCGAGUCUGUAGUUAAUUUAACAUUUGCGUUCUCUAUUGGUGAUGUGUGUGGCUUUAUAGGGCUUUUUUUUUCCAGUUUGUUUUAUUACUGUGUUUGGGAUGCUUCUUUGCUGGUGCAGUCUACCCAGAUUUGGUUCCCUUUGCAAAACAUCCCCCUGCCUGGAGAUGAUGAGAACGUUGGAGCCCAGGCCAGGGCCUGACCUGGCAGGCACACAUCUGGCCGGUGGUUCUGAGGUCCCCAGGGACCGAGUACCCUAUGAGGGCAGGCUACCUGAGGCCACACCUGCCCACCUCCCCUACUCCAGGCCACCAACUAGUGUCAGAUUGGGCCACAGGGAGGGAGAGAACAGGCCUAGCAGGGAAUGGAGGGCUGGGGCGGAGGCUGUCACCCAGAGGCCUCCUCCCCAGAGAGCUCCACGGGGAACCUGGCUCAACUGGGGGGCAGUGGUUUACUUUCCCUUUUUUCUUCCUUUCUUUUGUCCUCUCGGCUGCCCACAGCCAGUAAGCCAGGACCACCCGAACUGGACAGGGCACAGGGAGGGAGGAGUGGUCGGACGGAGCGUACCUGAUUCAACAGAAAAUCAAUUGUUUCUAAAACAGCCCCUACCAGAGCCUCCUGAAUUCUGUGGACACCACGUGCUGCUGUGAGCUUCUGCCCAAACCUUGACCAGCCACAGGCCCCGGGCGCCUUUGGAAGGAGUUUUGUAAAGGAAAACACACACACACACACACACACACACACACACACACACACGUUUUCAAUGUAGCAAAAUCAAACUAAAAAGGAAGAAAAAAGAAGAUGCCGACGGUGCGAAGUCUAGCCUUCUGUAACCUUCAUAUUGCACACUAGGACUAUAAGCCAUUGCUAGCUCAUUUUGAAUUUUAACGUGUAAUUUUUGUUUUAUUUUAUUUCUGUGGGGAAGACAAUGCUUGAUCCACCAAUGCUCUUUUUAAUGUUUUAUAACUAUGUAUGUGUAUAUAUAUAAAUACAAAAUAACAUGUAUGCACAUAUGUGUGUGUAUAUAUCUAUAUGUAUAUACAUAUAUAGAUAUAUAGAGAUAUAUAGAGAGGUUUUGAGACAAAAAAAUGCAGAACGUGAAACCCGAACUGAACAGCGUGUGCUCUGAUUACUUGAAUCUGGUCUCCUCGGCACCUGGUUAUUAAGAACUGAAUAUUUUUCCACUUGAAUUUAGUGCUAUUAGAAAUUUAAUAUAUGUGUUUUAUUUAUUUGAUUUUUUUUUUUUUGCAUGACUGAUGCAAGGUUUGACAUUUUCACUCAAUAAAAACUGGAAAAAAAAUCUAUCAAGUUAUCUUUUAUUUUUAAAAGCAUCCGUGAAUGACCCAGCUACACCAGUAGGGUGAGGGGGGCGGAGCUGGGAACUCUUGGACCCUGACAGGAAAAGGGGGGAACAGACCAGUUUGUCUCUAGGCAUGAGGCCAGGUUCUCCCAGGCUAUUGGGGACAGAGAUAUGGGGCUCAGGCCUAGCCUGGCCAGAAGGGUGGCCUCCUCCCCAGCCUUGCCUGAAGCCCCCACUUGGGGUUCAGGAGCCACCUUCAGGCAGAGCCAUCUGACACCAAGGCCUGGGGGGGGUAGGACAAAGGCUCUGUGGCCUCCCAGGACACCUACCCCAGCCAACCCUCUCCUCUCCUGCUGGGCUGCUGGGCCGGUGUUGGCAGGGCCACCCUCCUGCCUCCUCCCUCGGCUCCUUCCUCCUUCCUGCAGGGACCUGCCCAGGCUGGGAACGGCGUGUACCCGGAUCCAAUCCGGAUGCUGGCUCGGCUCCUGCCUGGAGCACUGGGUGGCAGAGCCAGAGGGGGCUGAUAAUUCCUGGGUUCAUAGCCACCGACCCAGAGCCUGAGCUGCCAGCCCUGGUGGCACUGUGGUUGGCUCCCUUGGAAGCACAGUGGCCAGAGUGCCCACCAGGCUUAGCUUGGAGUGCAGGCCUCCCAGGUGCUCCAGGAGUUUGCCCUGACACUUCCAACUGGUGGCUGGUUUCUCACAACACCACAUCGUGGGAAUCACCUUGGCAGCCCUGCCCUGAGCCGGCCUCCAGGUGUCCGGAGCUUCCUAGGGCCUUGAGGAGAGGACACGUGCAGGGCCGGCCACGGUCUUCCACGCUGAGGAGUCUUACUGGUUUGUCACACCCCAACCACAGGGAUGUCACAUCCACUUUCAUAACAAGGAAACAGGCAGACUUCAGGGGGCUGGAGAGGUUCACAUCUCCCUCACUGAGCCUGGCACCAGCCGGCCAGGCACCAGGGACCAGGGACAGCAGGGGAGUGGCCUCAGCCCACAGCGCCCGGGCCCAUAUCAUUUCCCACCGCAGAAGUACGUCUCCAGCCCAGCCCCAGCGCGCGGGCACUCCCUUUCUUCUUUCCUCCUGGAACGCGGCC